Molecule: ribosomal RNA, 563 nt
Filed under: uncultured bacterium
Lineage: Bacteria
Description: bacterial SSU rRNA
Rfam family: Bacterial small subunit ribosomal RNA
Source: RNAcentral
AAGUCGAACGAGAGAAGAGAAGCUUGCUUUUCUGAUCUAGUGGCGGACGGGUGAGUAACACGUGAGCAAUCUGCCUUUCAGAGGGGGAUACCGAUUGGAAACGAUCGUUAAUACCGCAUAAUAUAAUUGAACCGCAUGAUUUGAUUAUUAAAGAUUUAUCGCUGAAAGAUGAGCUCGCGUCUGAUUAGCUAGUUGGUAAGGUAACGGCUUACCAAGGCGACGAUCAGUAGCCGGACUGAGAGGUUGAUCGGCCACAUUGGGACUGAGACACGGCCCAGACUCCUACGGGAGGCAGCAGUGGGGAAUAUUGCACAAUGGAGGAAACUCUGAUGCAGCGAUGCCGCGUGAGGGAAGAAGGUUUUAGGAUUGUAAACCUCUGUCUUCAGGGACGAAAAAUGACGGUACCUGAGGAGGAAGCUCCGGCUAACUACGUGCCAGCAGCCGCGGUAAUACGUAGGGAGCGAGCGUUGUCCGGAAUUACUGGGUGUAAAGGGAGCGUAGGCGGGAUCGCAAGUCAGAUGUGAAAACUAUGGGCUUAACCCAUAAACUGCAUUUGAAACUGU